UUGUCUAGUGAGUCCAUCUCUUCCA
RNAcentral lists this non-coding RNA (25 nucleotides) under Mus musculus (house mouse). The record is from RNAcentral. Lineage: Eukaryota; Metazoa; Chordata; Mammalia; Rodentia; Muridae.